RNAcentral lists this unclassified non-coding RNA (246 nucleotides) under uncultured fungus. Its description in RNAcentral is "partial contains 5.8S ribosomal RNA, internal transcribed spacer 2, and large subunit ribosomal RNA". The record is from RNAcentral. Lineage: Eukaryota; Fungi.
AACGCACAUUGCACCCUCUGGUAUUCCGGGGGGUAUGCCUGUUCGAGCGUCAUUUCAACCCUCAAGCACAGCUUGGUAUUGGGUGUCACCUGGCAAAAUAGGUGUGCCUUAAAAUCAGUGGCGGUGCCAUCUGGCUUCAAGCAUAGUAAAUUUCUUGCUUUGGAGAUAGGAUGUGUACUUGCCAUCAAACCCCAAUUUUAUCAAAAGGUUGACCUCGGAUCAGGUAGGGAUACCCGCUGAACUUAA